UUUUAACAACAGCACCUUUUUUAAUUGCACACUCGUCUCUUCUUCAGCUGCUGUUUACAUUUUUCUUAACGGAACGUCCCACGGGGGACGAAGUAACUUUUUGUCGAAGCGUUCCCCCAUUUUGUGCAGCAUAGAGCAUUGUGGAAAUGUGAGGUGUUUGACGAACGAGAAGAAAAAGGUGUGGAAUUUGCGACAGUUUUGAGUGGGACGGACUAACGUUGCUGGUGUCGCAAAUGCAAGGGCGACGAGAAACGACUGAAACGAGUUAGCAGCGACAAGAAAGCGGAACAUAACGUGGUGUGGGUGGAGUAGUUUCAAACCAGGAUUGUACUGAGUUAAUUGAAGAUUUUGUAUCGAGUUGUGGGGGAUGGAGAAGGGUUAUCUAACAAGGAAAACGGAGUAAUCUGAUAAGUCGUGGUUAUAUAUUGUGUACAGUUAGCAAUUAGUGGAGACAUGUUUUAAACGUGUACAAUUGAGUUACUCCUAUCUGAGAUUUGAAUAAAUUGAGAUUGUCUAGUUGUCACUGCACACUAUCAAAUGAAAUCAUGGACCGACGACAACACCCCAACAGAAAUGGACAACAAAGUCCAUUCGAUUUCGGCUCGACACCAUCUACUCCGCCGUUGACAUCGUCUUCUUCUGGGCGACAACAAUUAUCUUCCCCAUUUUUUGGAAAUGUUAACAACAAUAACAAUGCUUCCAUUCUUCAGUCAUCCAUGGGUUUAACCACGACAGAUUUGCAGUAUUUCCCAAACACUGGAGUUUAUUAUAGCAAUCCUCCCACAAUGCAUAGCCCACCCCCAGGUUUUACAGCAGUUCAGCAACAAAACGCUGCUGGUCUUCCACCUGGAUAUCAGCACGUUCUUAAUAUGCAAAAUGUUCACCUUCAACAACAAUGUCCACCACAAAAUUUAUGCCAUGUUGGUGGAUUUCCUCAACAGCAGCAGCAACAACAACAAGUUCCCCCCAUGUUUAAUAAUAAUUUCACUCCCUUAGAGCUCGGAGAACAUUCUGUUCAUUACGACGCCAUAAGUUCACUUCAGACCCAGAUGCAAAAACAUCCUGAAUAUAACAUGUAUGACAACAAUGUUAACAACAAUAAUCACGGGAUGAUGGAAUUUGGACAAUCCACCUCCUUAGGAAACCGUUCAGCCACCGGUGUUAGUUGUCCUACUACCGAUAGAAAUAUGUCCCCGAUUGAUAAGACCUUCAUCGCUCAGAAAAGUGGGAUUGAACCCCUCAUCGACAAUAUUGUGGGAUCAAUGAUAUUCAACGGAGUCAAUGGAACGUAUACUCAUUUCGGCCCUUCGGGAUGCACAACAUUUCCAUCAUCCGAAUUUGAACGACAUAAUAAUAACGAAGCAGCGCACAUGGAAUUUGUUGGUUCAUCAGGACAAGCUCCAACGUUGGUUACAAAUUAUAAACCAAGUGACACCAAAAUCGUCGAACAAAGGCAGGAAUCGCCAACUCCACGAGGACAACAACAACAAAGUUCAUGUUCCACGGGCCACAUUGCUCCACAAAUGGUUGGACGAUCAUCUACUCCCAAUGGCGAAAACACAACGGCUGAAAAUACUUCUCGACCUCAAACCCCAAAUAAACCCUCAUAUUCUGAAAUUUUGGCAAAGAGUAAUGCAAACCAGAGUGGCGCUUCGACACCAACCUAUCGACGCGCAACGUCGACUGCAAGUUCUUCCACAUCAUCACAGCCAGCAGCUUCGAAAAGCUCUUUUUCCAACCAACCCAUCACAUCUACUGCAAAUCUCCCCCGAAAAUCUGAUUGCACAAGUGUUAGCUCUGGCUCUUCAGCAAACUCUUCUUCAUGCACGUCCCUGUCAUCCAGUCCAAUCGCGAAGCAGAAAACUUUAUCGCAAACAAUUAUGGGCCGUUUGUUUACGACAUCCACUUUUGGCAAGGAGAACACUGCCACACCCACCAGCAAAACCUCAUACUUCUCUUACAAUAGAACCCCACCAGCAUCCACGACUCCGACUCAUCGCCGGAAGUCCGUGAACGAGAUUAAACGUGACGAUCGUAAAGUUCUUCAAGCGUCUCAAAACUCUGGGGGAAAUUUAAAACUGAAGGUAAAACCAAAGUUUAACAAGGGGUCGGCAUCAAGUAUUCAUUCGGAUCCUGCUGUGGAUGAGCAAACCCCACCACAGUCAUCAGAACAACAGGAGGAGGAUGGCGACUGGAAAACGUAUUCUCGGAAUAAACACACUACCACGACCAACCGACCUACUCAAUCGCUGAAUGUUUCAAACUCUAAAUCAACAACGAGUGAAGAAUUUAGUAACAAGGACGAGAACAAGAUCGCUUCAAAUAACGAUGAUGAUGCUGAUGAGGACGUUGUUUUUGAAUCAGAAGAAGGAGAUGCAAGUGGUGCAUCGCGCCGUGAGGCUGAUAAGACGAAAUCUGGACAACAAUCUGCCACCACGAAUGUAGGGAAUGGGAGUCAACAGCAAGCCCAACAACGAAAAAGCCGAGAAAAGGAAAGGCCCAAGAACAAAAAGGAUUGUCGAGUUGCUAAUGCUGCAAUCCAACGGUGUCAUCGGAUCGUAUAUUUAUGGGGAAUCACAAUGAUCUCUGCCGUAGCUUGGCUCGUGAAGCUGGUUACUGACGUUUUCACUCUUUCAAUUUCGGUUGGAUCUACACUAAUGGAAGACUUAUACUCUUGGUGGAUAAAUAAAGCUGUUCCUGGAUUCCUCCAGCAAGUCAAUAUGAUUGAAGAAACGUUACGAGUGAGUUGUCGAAAGUUGAAGCAGGGCGUCUCCUCUUGGAACCGGUGGCCAUUUCGUCGGAAACUUAACGACGAGAGUAGUGAUUUAAAAAAGAAUUCUCAAGACCUCUUGGCGGCAUUGGGACCUGACAAAAAUAUCCAGAUAACUAAUGCUGACGAAACGCUAAAGAGAUUGCUUAGUUGCAAAGGCCAAGAUCCAUACAGCAUUUUGGGAGUGCGAAGCGACAGUUCUGAUGAAACGAUUAGAAGAUAUUACAAGAAACAAGCCGUUUUAGUUCAUCCUGAUAAGAACCUGGUCGUUGGUGCAGAAGAGGCAUUCAAAAUACUAGGCAGGGCUUUUGAAUUUAUCGGCGAAUCUUCUAAACGGCAAGAGUACCACAGCAAACUGCUGGAAGCGCAUGCAAAGGAGCAGGUUUAUGGUGAAAUUGGGAAAUUACUUGAACAAUUGAGGAAAAAGAUGGAAAUUGCCACUAGUUCGAUUCGAUGUACAAAAUGCAAUUUGCGCCACAAGAAAAAUAAGACGGAUCGUCCCCUCUUUGCUUGCAGAUUCUGUUCUCAGUGCAAAAUACACCAUGCUGCUCGAGAGGGUGAAUUAUGGGCUGAAAGCAAAGGGUGGUUUAAAAUGUCUUGGAACUAUUUUACUUGCAUGGACUGUCACGUCUGGGAAAUUAACGAAUGGGCGAAAUGUCAAAAGAAGAACUUGAUGCAUAUCAAGGCGGAUUCCCACUGUGUCAUGUACAGGCUCGUGGCUGGCGGCGGAAACGGUGGCACUGGACAACAACCGGGAGGAGGAAAUCCAGGUCAAGGUCCAGACGGUCAGUUUCACGUGGAUCCUGAAGAUGACUGGGACUCUCUAAUUAACAACUUGUGUAAAACUGGUGGAGUUCCUGGAAACAAGGGGGACCAUUUCUAUCAGCAAGGCAACGGUUCGGCAGGGAAUUUUUAUACCAGUGGGGCUAGUGGUACUGCUAAUGCCUCUUCUUCUACCACUAAUGGCGCCGCGGCUGGUCGAAAGAGGAAGGGAAAGCGUAAAUAAGCAGAAAGAAGAACUUCAGUAAUCCGAUCACCCACGGCUAAUGCAAAUAUAUUUAAUUGAACCCAAAAUUCGCACCUGAACCAAAACUAAACCCAGCCAAUAUUAAUGCUUUUUGAAACUUUUAUACUCAGAAAAGUGCUUCACACACAGUUCACAGUCAGUUUUAUCUAAUUAUGUAAUUUACAAAAAUAUCACCAACGUAUUGUAGUUGUGAAUGUGCUGCUAUUUGUGCUCUUUUUUUGAAUGAUAAUGAUGACGACAUAUAUAAGACGAUCAUUUUCUUCGGUGGCCGUAUAAAAUUUAUACAUAUGUUACAUGUUUUUUGACUAUGCUCAAUCUGUAAUAUUUUUCUCUUUAGUACUUGUUCAUUUGACCCGUUCUCUAAAUGUGCAUGAGCUGCCGAUGAAUAUGAAUUGAUUAACAUGAUUAAGUAUGGCGUCCUCCUUCUUGUUAGAGAUUACCAAAAAUAGAUAAUUAAUUAGUGGUACUUUCUAAUUAUUCUACAAAAUUGACUUUUAUUUGGACGAAGAAUUUUUAAACAGACAGAUUCGUGCUUAUCUGUAUGGAUUUAGUUACUAAUAAGAUUGGUAUAAAAGAUGAAGGAAGAAUAUUGAAAUGCAAAACUUAUUGUCAUCUAUAAUUCAAUUCAUGAAGAAAUGAUCAUUCUCAAUUUCAACUUGAUUUGCCAACAUUGUGUAAGACUGCUUAAAAAUUAAUGAAUUAAUUGUUUAAUUACUACAGUAUAAUUCUUAUUUAAUAAUAGUAUUAAUAUGAGUAGGAUAUUCAUAAGAUUAAUAAACUAUUUAAGUACUAUGAUAUUAAUGCUCGUAUUUGUUAUAUUGCUUCGAUGAUAAUAACAUACACAUUUCAAGUAGAUUUAUUAUACGGUCUAGUUAGAGCUUUACAAUUCUUGAAUUUGACAGUAAUUAAUUAUUAAUUAAAUUAAGAAGAGAACGUAAGUUUCCGAACUAAUUGUUAGUUUUCUGCCAACCAAUUACUGUACAUGCAUGUGUUGAAUUCUACACACGCACAUUGUAUGUAUUAUACCAGCAGAAGAAUUAUAAAAGAAUAAAGGAAGGUGGCAUUAUAUUUUCUAUGCCUGAAAUUUAA
Molecule: RNA transcript, 4886 nt
Organism: Folsomia candida
Lineage: Eukaryota; Metazoa; Arthropoda; Collembola; Entomobryomorpha; Isotomidae
Gene name: dnaJ homolog dnj-5
Exons: 13
Source: RefSeq, a predicted model, not a curated record